This is a non-coding RNA of Gymnopus androsaceus JB14, 93 nucleotides long. NCBI's taxonomy places the organism in Eukaryota, Fungi, Basidiomycota, Agaricomycetes, Agaricales, Omphalotaceae. The record is from the annotation of a GenBank genome assembly.
GGUGAGAUGGCCGAGUGGUCUAAGGCGCUAGAUUUAGAUUACUCUAUCUACCUGUAGUCAUUCGUGGCGUGGGUUCAAAUCCCACUCUCAUCA